AGCCAUGCGAGUCAUUGUAGCAAUACAAGGCAGACGGCUCAGUAACGCGUAGUCAAUCUACCCUGUUGACGGGGAUAACCUCGGGAAACUGAGAAUAAUACCCGAUAGAACAUUAUGCCUGGAAUGGUUUAUGUUUCAAAUGAUUUAUCGCAAUAGGAUGGGACUGCGGCCUAUCAGUUUGUUGGUGAGGUAAUGGCCCACCAAGACUAUUACAGGUACGGGCUCUGAGAGGAGUGGCCCGGAGAUGGGUACUGAGACACGGACCCAGGCCCUAUGGGGCGCAGCAGGCGAGAAAACUUUGCAAUGUGCGAAAGCACGACAAGGUUAAUCCGAGUGGUUUCUGCUAAAGAAACCUUUUGUCAGUCCUAGAAACACUGAUGAAUAAGGGGUGGGCAAGUUCUGGUGUCAGCCGCCGCGGUAAAACCAGCACCUCAAGUGGUCAGGAUGAUUAUUGGGCCUAAAGCAUCCGUAGCUUGUUUUGUAAGUUUUCGGUUAAAUCCAUACGCUUAACGUAUGGGCUGCCGGGAAUACUGCAUAACUAGGAAGUGGGAGAGGUAGACGGUACUCGGUAGGAAGGGGUAAAAUCCUUUGAUCUAUUGAUGACCACCUGUGGCGAAGGCGGUCUACCAGAACACGUUCGACGGUGAGGGAUGAAAGCUGGGGGAGCAAACCGGAUUAGAUACCCGGGUAGUCCCAGCUGUAAACUAUGCAAACUCAGUGAUGCAUUGGCUUGUGGCCAAUGCAGUGCUGCAGGGAAGCCGUUAAGUUUGCCGCCUGGGAAGUACGUACGCAAGUAUGAAACUUAAAGGAAUUGGCGGGGGAGCACCACAAGGGGUGAAGCCUGCGGUUCAAUUGGAGUC
RNAcentral lists this ribosomal RNA (860 nucleotides) under uncultured archaeon. RNAcentral describes it as "bacterial SSU rRNA". It matches the Rfam family "Archaeal small subunit ribosomal RNA", at positions 47 to 913 of the family's 1478-position model. The record is from RNAcentral.